AGUUUCAAAACACUUGACACGUCAUGUGUUAGUUAUGCCACGGACGGUUACGCUAGUAUGUUUAUGCAGUUAUGUAUUAAUAUAUUAUACGAAUGAUAUUUGCAUAUGUUACGAUUUUAAUUAUUGCAUUUUACUAUAGUCGUGUGGACCCAUCAUUAUGAUUGGAUUCUGGGCGAAGCGAUGAAUGUAUUGAUUUACCAGGACCGGCGCUAAGUAUUUUGUCGCCCCGUGUAAGUAAAAAAAAAUGCCGCCCCUUUCAACAAAUUGUUGCCAUAUAAUUGUGACCCAGACACCCACAACAUUGAACUUUUUUUAUGUUUCAUUGUUGAAAGUUAUCGUUUUGAUAACUAUUAGUAUUGAGUAUAUAUUGUAUAUAUAUACUUAAUGCUAUUUGGCACGUCACCGCGGCACAUUCGUAAUUUUAGUGGAUAAUGAAUAAUGAUCAAUGACAAAACUAAAUUCGAACAUCAACGAAAAGUAAUUAAUGAACAAUAUAAUUACAUGAAAAAUACUGUGUGGGUACCUAUUAAAUACUCGUAUUUAUACAAAAAAUAUAAUAUUAUCUUUUCUUUUAACACGAUGUGUUUUUGGGCUGGGUUUAACUCUUUGUAUUUUUCGCGAGCCCGAUUUUUUUAACGCUUUGUUCAUUGCUAUAGAAACGCAAAUCAACAAUAAAACGAAAAAAAGGUGGACUAUAUAAAUGUAUUAAUGUAGGAAUUUGACGUUAAUUCAUUUUCCGUGCAUAAAUUACAUACCACUUUUAAAUUGUACACUUGUUACAUAUAAGUUAUGACUAAUAAGUAAUAAGUAAUAAUUAAUAUGAAGUACCUACGUGGUAGCGAUCCAUAA
Molecule: long non-coding RNA, 849 nt
Organism: Metopolophium dirhodum (rose-grain aphid)
Lineage: Eukaryota; Metazoa; Arthropoda; Insecta; Hemiptera; Aphididae
Exons: 3
Source: RefSeq, a predicted model, not a curated record